RNAcentral lists this long non-coding RNA (1165 nucleotides) under Capra hircus (goat). RNAcentral's name for it is "lncRNA (ENSCHIG00010015843.1)". Lineage: Eukaryota; Metazoa; Chordata; Mammalia; Artiodactyla; Bovidae. The record is from RNAcentral.
GCUGAGACAUAAGCUAAGACUCUUGGAUUCCGAGCUAAAUGCUGGAUUUCUUUUCUCUUACACUCUGUUGCCUGCUUAUUCAAGGUCAGAAAGUGUCACAUCCAUCAUUAAAUUAAAUUUUACUGGACCUCAUUGAGUGAAACUCAGGGCUAUGACAAUCUCUGUGCAUCUUUGGAGUUAACCAGGCCACGAGGGGGAUUUCUUCAUGAAUGUCUAGGGUUUUAUUGGGUAGAAAAAACACCCGGUAGGGUUAAGCCUUCUGUCUCAACUAUGGGGGGGAAAGUAUCAAAGUGUACAGAUCCAUAAGUCAUUAAAAGUUUAAAAAAACCCACAACAACAACAACAAUAAAAUCUGCAUUCUGGGUGGCUGCUUACAAAGCAGCUGUAAUCGCCUGGCCAAAUCAGAUCUUGCUCCAUGCUCCUUCCUGAACUUCCUUUGUCCUCAAUCUGAGCACAGUGCAGAGGAGGGAUGUGUGGGUCCAGGGCAAGAUGGAAUUUGGACCAGCUGUUUUCAAAGGUUACAUUAGAAACUCCAAAGGCUAAAAGGGUUUCUGUGAAAACGGCCUUCUAACAUCAGAGUCACCACAUUGCAUCACGUGUCUGUACCAAGAAACCACAGUGGGGAUGUAACUGGUAACACACAAAUCUUCCUAAGAUGAACAAAAUGUUAGGCCCUAUCGACAUGGCACAAGGACAUAUCUGACUUUCCAAAUUUCUUCCAUUUUUGUGGUUUUUGAGGUUGCAGUAGAAUUCAAACCUCUCCGGGUUCAAGUUAUCAAGUCUUGACAAAAUAUGACUUCCUAGAUCAGCAAAAGGUUUUGAUUAAAAAAAAUUUUUUUUGAGGGCAAUUAGAUGAAAUCAUUUUCAUCAUGGAUAAAUGAAUCAAGGUUAGAUUUCUCUUAAAAUACACAGGGAUAAAAAAAUCUCAGGAUGAAAUAAGCAGUAGACUGAUUCUGAGCUUCGUAGGGUUUUCCCACAAUGAAAAGUCCUAAGUUCCUGUAAAUCCCAAACUUGGACAAAGGGCAAGAAAACAGAACAGAAAAGAGAAAGAGGGCUAAAUGAGUACAUGUAAUCACUGGGCAACAGGCUUCAAUUUGGUCUCUUCUGGGGGCAGACAUGUCCCCUCGAUAGCUGUCAUCCUCUUUGCAUAAUGAUAGAUGUUUGU